Molecule: non-coding RNA, 73 nt
Organism: Stegodyphus mimosarum
Lineage: Eukaryota; Metazoa; Arthropoda; Arachnida; Araneae; Eresidae
Source: Rfam
GCCUUCGUGGUGUAGUGGUCAGCACGCUGGACGCGUAACCGAGAGGUCCGUGGUUCAACUCCCGGUGAAGGCG